Molecule: ribosomal RNA, 301 nt
Filed under: uncultured bacterium
Lineage: Bacteria
Description: partial 16S ribosomal RNA
Rfam family: Bacterial small subunit ribosomal RNA
Source: RNAcentral
CAGUCGCCACGGGAAUACAGAGGGUGCAAGCGUUAAUCGGAAUUACUGGGCGUAAAGCGCGCGUAGGUGGUUUGUUAAGUUGGAUGUGAAAGCCCCGGGCUCAACCUGGGAACUGCAUCCAAAACUGGCAAGCUAGAGUACGGUAGAGGGUGGUGGAAUUUCCUGUGUAGCGGUGAAAUGCGUAGAUAUAGGAAGGAACACCAGUGGCGAAGGCGACCACCUGGACUGAUACUGACACUGAGGUGCGAAAGCGUGGGGAGCAAACAGGAUUAGAGACCCCCGUAGUCCCUGUCUCUUAUAC